AGACUGAUGGAUAUGUCUGUUCAAGCAGUGAGUCUUAGUGGGAGUCAAAUGCUUCUGCUUUCAAGGACAAGCUGUGAUGAGGAGGGAAAUAAUAGUACCGAAGCUUCUGAUGUCACACUGCCAAGAAAAGCUUCUAGUGAGAAAACAAUGGCCCGUACCGCAAACCGACACAGGUAGUCGAGGAGAGCAUCCUAAGGUGAGCGAGAGAACUCUCGUUAAGGAACUCGGCAAAAUGACCCCGUAACUUCGGGAGAAGGGGUGCUGCUCUAACGAGCAGCCGCAGUGAAUAGGCCCAAGCGACUGUUUAUCAAAAACACAGGUCUCUGCAAAAUCGAAAGAUGACGUAUAGGGGCUGACGCCUGCCCGGUGCUGGAAGGUUAAGAGGA
This 386-nucleotide ribosomal RNA is filed under the name Enterococcus faecium. RNAcentral's name for it is "partial 23S ribosomal RNA". It matches the Rfam family "Bacterial large subunit ribosomal RNA", at positions 1492 to 1885 of the family's 2925-position model. Lineage: Bacteria; Bacillati; Bacillota; Bacilli; Lactobacillales; Enterococcaceae. The record is from RNAcentral.